RNAcentral lists this unclassified non-coding RNA (250 nucleotides) under plant metagenome. RNAcentral describes it as "partial contains small subunit ribosomal RNA, internal transcribed spacer 1, and 5.8S ribosomal RNA". The record is from RNAcentral.
GUAGGUGAACCUGCGGAAGGAUCAUUUGAUGAGUAUAAACAGGACUUGAUGCUGGCUAUAUGCAUGUGCUCGGUCCUACUCAAUCUACUUAACACCUGUGCAUUUUCAAAGUUGUAGUCCUCCGUAAUGGGAGUCGUGUCUUGUAAUGAGACACUGGGACUAUGCUUUGCCCAUUAUCACAAACAUUAUUACAGUCUUGUAGAAUGUCAUUAGCCUAAGGGCUUAACUUAAUACAACUUUCAACAACGGA